GACGAACGCUGGCGGCGUGCUUAACACAUGCAAGUCGAACGGAAAGGCCCUGCUUUUGUGGGGUGCUCGAGUGGCGAUCGGGUGAGUAACACGUGAGUAAUCUGCCCUUGACUUUGGGAUAACUUCAGGAAACUGGGGCUAAUACCGGAUAGGAGCUCCUGCUGCAUGGUGUGGGUUGGAAAGUUUCGGCGGUUGGGGAUGGACUCGCGGGUUAUCAGCUUGGUGGUGGGGUAGUGGCUUACCAAGGCUUUGCCGGAUAGCCGGCCUGAGAGGGUGACCGGCCAGAUAGGGACUGAGAGACGGACGGCACAGCCACGUGCGGGAGCAGGCGGGAAUAAUGAACGAAGGACGGAAGCAAGACGCAUGAAGGACGGGUGCGUGAAGAAGGCCUGCGGUUGGAUAGCCGCUUUCUCCUGUGACUAAGGGAGAGUGACGGUAGUGGAUAAAGAAGCAACGGCUAACUACGUG
RNAcentral lists this ribosomal RNA (468 nucleotides) under uncultured bacterium. RNAcentral's name for it is "partial 16S ribosomal RNA". It matches the Rfam family "Bacterial small subunit ribosomal RNA", at positions 28 to 507 of the family's 1533-position model. The record is from RNAcentral.